CCUACGGGAGACAGCAGUGGGGAAUAUUGCGCAAUGGGGGCAACCCUGACGCAGCAACGCAGCGUGAUUGAAGACUGCCUUCGGGUUGUAAAGCUCUUUAAUUGUGGACGUAUUUUGACGGUAGCCGGAGAAUAAGCACCGGCCAACUACGUGCCAGCAGCCGCGGUAAUACGGAGGGAGCAAGCGUUAUCCGGAUUUACUGGGUGUAAAGGGCGUGUAGGUGGGCAUGCAAGCCAGAUGUGAAAUCUGGGGGCUUAACCGCCAAACUGCUGUUGGAACUGGGUGUCUUGAGUGAUGGAGAGGCAGGCGGAAUUCGCAGUGUAGCGGUGAAAUGCGUAGAUAUUGGGAGGAACACCAGUGGCGAAGGCAGCCUGCUGGACAUUAACUGACGCUGAGGCGCGAAAGUGUGGGGAGCAAACAGGAUUAGAUACCCUGGUAGUC
This 441-nucleotide ribosomal RNA is filed under the name uncultured bacterium. Its description in RNAcentral is "partial 16S ribosomal RNA". It matches the Rfam family "Bacterial small subunit ribosomal RNA", at positions 338 to 795 of the family's 1533-position model. The record is from RNAcentral.